AGUGGGAGCGUGUGUGUAAGGAGAGUGCUUGUGGUUGUGGUUUGUCCUCUGUAAUAGAGUGGGACUAAAAUAACCCAGCCUGGGAUGAGGAGGAGAGCUGCACGCUAGUACAGCUCUCCAUUCUCCCAUCAACGAUUAUAGUUAAUUGCUAAUUGCACAAAUAAUAGUUGGAAGGCCUGUAAUUAAAAGCUUAAUCUUUUCUUGUUUGGGGGAGGGGAAACCCGUAGGUUUAUUCUUCUUGAUAUAGUUUGCAACAUUCAAUUACAAGGCUUACGGAAAGAAAAAAGGAAGCAAAGGCAAGACUUCUGUAAAGGAUUGAAUCCUGUUUUGUGUCUGGCAAUACUGGCUUUUUUUGUGUACUUUGGUUUUCUUGCUCAAUUUCCCCUGCUUGUCCCUAUCUAAUCAGCCCGAGAGGACACACGGAGCUAUUUCACCU
Molecule: long non-coding RNA, 436 nt
Filed under: Bos taurus (domestic cattle)
Lineage: Eukaryota; Metazoa; Chordata; Mammalia; Artiodactyla; Bovidae
Description: long non-coding RNA NONBTAT024319
Source: RNAcentral